GUAUUGUUGUCUCCAAGCCAGACCUGAUCAUCUGUCUGGAGCAAGGAAAAAUCCUUUGAGUAUGAGGAGACAUGAGGUGAUUGCCAAAUACCCAGGUGGGUGCAAGUGAAAGUGAAUACAACAGACGACACAGAUGGAGUUUCCCUCUUGUUGCUUAGACUGGAGUGCAAUGGUGUGACCCCAGUUCACUGCAACCUCUGCCUCUCAGGUUCAAGCAAUUUUCCUGCCUCAGCCUCCCAAGUAGCUGGGAGUACAGGCAUCUGCAACCACACCCAGGUAAUUUUUUCUAUUUUAAGUAGAAAUGGGGUUUGACCAUGAUGGCCAGGCUGGUCUUGAACUCCUGACCUCAGGUGGUCUACCUGCCUCGGCAUCCCAAAGUGCUGGUAUUACAGGCAUGAGCCACCACAUCCGGCCUUGUGUAUUUUGGAGAUAGUGUCUCACUCUGUCAACCAGGCUGAUUUGCUCGGUUCACUGCUGCCUGAAUCUCCCAAACUCAGAUGAUCCUCUCAUAUCAGCCUCUCAAGUAGCUGCAUUACAAGUAUGUAACAUCACACC
RNAcentral lists this long non-coding RNA (555 nucleotides) under Pan troglodytes (chimpanzee). RNAcentral describes it as "lincRNA". The record is from RNAcentral. Lineage: Eukaryota; Metazoa; Chordata; Mammalia; Primates; Hominidae.